RNAcentral lists this ribosomal RNA (275 nucleotides) under uncultured bacterium. RNAcentral's name for it is "partial 16S ribosomal RNA". It matches the Rfam family "Bacterial small subunit ribosomal RNA", at positions 338 to 627 of the family's 1533-position model. The record is from RNAcentral.
CCUACGGGUGGCUGCAGUUGGGAAUAUUGGACAAUGGGCGAAAGCCUGAUCCAGCAAUCCCGCGUGAAUGAUGAAGGCCUUCGGGUCGUAAAGUUCUUUUAGUGGGGACGAACACAAUGACGGUACCCACAGAAAAAGCACCGGCUAACUCCGUGCCAGCAGCCGCGGUAAUACGGAGGGUGCAAGCGUUGCUCGGAAUCAUUGGGCGUAAAGCGCGUGUAGGCGGCUGGACAAGUCUGAUGUGAAAUCCUGGAGCUUAACUCCAGAACUGCAUC